CAUUGCGAAAAGUCAUGCGACCUGCACUCUUUGAGAAGCAUUACUCUUUGAACGCACCUUGCGCGCACUAGUCUUCUAGUGCGAGGUCCUGUUUGAGCAUCACACACACUUGCACUUGGCCGCUACUCGCAGGCGGCUUGAACGAAUGGGGCCCGAACGACUCUAGGGCGAGCGAGACGCAGCGCGACAAGCAUCACUGCGUCGAGCCAACCCCCAAGCAAAGCUACUCGUACUAAAUAUACGAUAGUUAUGCAAUGCCGGUGGAACGCCGGCACCAGUAAAAAUCUCAAAUCAGGAUAGAGGACCCGCUGAACUUAA
This 318-nucleotide unclassified non-coding RNA is filed under the name uncultured Blastocladiomycota. RNAcentral's name for it is "sequence contains ITS1". The stretch from base 1 to 102 matches the Rfam family "5.8S ribosomal RNA", at positions 51 to 154 of the family's 154-position model. Lineage: Eukaryota; Fungi; Blastocladiomycota. The record is from RNAcentral.